CCAAGUCAUGAAGGAAUCUAUCAGUGGAAUCUGGUGGCUCACAGCCACAAUUUUACACGGUGAUCGUCGACGGCCUUCCACUUUCCAACCCUAUAUAACUGUGCUCCGUCCUGGCCGCCGCCGUCAACGUCUCCGUUUCCCUCCUGGGUUCUGUCACCUUGCGGCGAAAGAAAGUGUAUGGGAAGGAGGAGUGGGUAUUGAUAGGUUGCAAAGAGGACACUCAUUAUGACAAGACUCUUAUACUUUCUUUGCCUUUCAAAUGUCAUCUCCCUCACUCCAUUAUCCACAACUAACUAAUGUUUCAAAUCUUUGGGGUCCAGAAAGAAGAGCAUAGAGUUUGUUUGCAAGCCCAGCAGCAAAUGAGAAAGAAGGAAGAUAAUGAGGUGUGAAUAGCUACCCAUUUUUAUUCAAACCCGUGACAAUCUCAUUGAAAGCUACUUAAUGACGGUGAAGGA
Cucurbita moschata (crookneck pumpkin) is the source of this 455-nucleotide long non-coding RNA. RefSeq lists it as uncharacterized. The record is from RefSeq and is a predicted model, not a curated record. NCBI's taxonomy places the organism in Eukaryota, Viridiplantae, Streptophyta, Magnoliopsida, Cucurbitales, Cucurbitaceae. The transcript has 4 exons.